This 207-nucleotide ribosomal RNA is filed under the name uncultured bacterium. Its description in RNAcentral is "partial 16S ribosomal RNA". It matches the Rfam family "Bacterial small subunit ribosomal RNA", at positions 56 to 248 of the family's 1533-position model. The record is from RNAcentral.
UGCAAGUCGAACGGGGAUUUUGUUUCGGCAGAAUCCUAGUGGCGAACGGGUGAGUAACGCGUAGGCAACCUGCCCUCCGGCCGGGGACAACACUCCGAAAGGGGUGCUAAUACCGGAUACGAAGUCUGUGCCGCAUGGUACGGAUUUGAAAGAUGGCCUCUAUUUAUAAGCUAUCGCCGGGGGAUGGGCCUGCGUCCGAUUAGCUGG